UACAGAGGGUGCGAGCGUUAAUCGGAUUUACUGGGCGUAAAGCGCGUGUAGGCGGCUUUGCAAGUCGGAUGUGAAAUCCCACGGCUCAACCGUGGAAGUGCAUCCGAAACUGCAUCGCUCGAGUCUCGGAGAGGAAGGUGGAAUGCUUGGUGUAGAGGUGAAAUUCGUAGAUAUCAAGCAGAACACCUGCGGCGAAGGCGGCCUUCUGGACGAUGACUGACGCUGAGACGCGAAAGCGUGGGGAGCAAACAGG
This 253-nucleotide ribosomal RNA is filed under the name uncultured bacterium. Its description in RNAcentral is "partial 16S ribosomal RNA". It matches the Rfam family "Bacterial small subunit ribosomal RNA", at positions 524 to 776 of the family's 1533-position model. The record is from RNAcentral.